Non-coding RNA from Crucibulum laeve, 105 nucleotides. Lineage: Eukaryota; Fungi; Basidiomycota; Agaricomycetes; Agaricales; Nidulariaceae. The record is from the annotation of a GenBank genome assembly.
GGCGCUAUAGCCAAGUGGUUACGGCGACAGAUUAGAAUCAUCUGGCUCACAGUACGUUUCAUCUGUUCCUCUUUGAGGGCGCAGGUUCAAAUCCUGCUGGCGUCG